AAACUACGCACUCUUUCCAGAGGGCUUGGUACACAAACUCCAAUUUGGGCAGACAGAGGGAUAAUCGAGCUACUUGUGUUCAGACAACCUGGAUCGCCGAAAUCUGUUCAAUGUUAAUCUGGCAACCCCGAGCAAUUUUCCGCUUUUCUUUAUUGCCUUCCCUCUCUUUAGCCCUCCUUUUCCCUCUGACUUCUUCGUCUGCUCUAUAGCGUGGUGGACCUGUCAGAGUCCAGAACGACACAUUUCUUUGUUUAAAGUUCUUUCAUCGUCCUCAGAGUUAUAUACUCUUCUGAUUGUUAGUGUCUCCUCUUCCUACAUUUUCCAGUCGCCACCUUGGCUCUAAAGAUUAUUCGCCAUUCUCUGGCCCUCCACGUGAUAAUCUGUCAAUCAUUCUGAUUUGGGUCUGAUUGUGUCUGUCUGACUCUUUACAAUCAUUACGAGUCACUCUCUUCUCAUUUUGUGUGUGUGCAAUCCCAGAUACCACACGUUGUCUUUCAUACCUGGUGUUCUCACCACCCCUUUAUCGAAUACAAUAUUCAUCAGUCUACAGUCAGGAAUUUAAUUCAAGGUUUCACCAAGGGAACACAACCUUAAAUAGAUUACGAACGGGAAAAUAUCUUUCGAAUAAUUUGGCCGUAUUCUUUUCCAAUUCCAAGCCAUUACCUAAAAAAUAAUUUCAUGUCAUUGAUUGAAAAAGACGUAGCCAAUUCAGGAAGGGGAGACCGGGGCAAGUAGGCUCUUUUUUC
Molecule: long non-coding RNA, 746 nt
Filed under: Daphnia pulex (common water flea)
Lineage: Eukaryota; Metazoa; Arthropoda; Branchiopoda; Diplostraca; Daphniidae
Description: uncharacterized LOC124200286, transcript variant X1
Source: RNAcentral